UGCAGUCGAACGAAGUCUUCGGACUUAGUGGCAGACGGGUGAGUAACGCGUGGGAAUCUACCCAGUUCUCUGGAAUAACUGAUGGAAACGUCAGCUAAUACCGGAUACGCCCUUUUGGGGAAAGAUUUAUCGGGAUUGGAUGAGCCCGCGUAAGAUUAGCUAGUUGGUGGGGUAAUGGCCUACCAAGGCGACGAUCUUUAGCUGGUCUGAGAGGAUGAUCAGCCACACUGGGACUGAGACACGGCCCAGACUCCUACGGGAGGCAGCAGUGGGGAAUAUUGGACAAUGGGGGCAACCCUGAUCCAGCCAUGCCGCGUGAGUGAUGAAGGCCUUAGGGUUGUAAAGCUCUUUCACCGGUGAAGAUAAUGACGGUAACCGGAGAAGAAGCCCCGGCUAACUUCGUGCCAGCAGCCGCGGUAAUACGAAGGGGGCUAGCGUUGUUCGGAAUUACUGGGCGUAAAGCGCACGUAGGCGGAUAUUUAAGUCAGGGGUGAAAUCCCGGAGCUCAACUCCGGAACUGCCUUUGAUACUGGAUAUCUAGAGACCGAGAGA
RNAcentral lists this ribosomal RNA (552 nucleotides) under uncultured bacterium. RNAcentral describes it as "bacterial SSU rRNA". It matches the Rfam family "Bacterial small subunit ribosomal RNA", at positions 56 to 655 of the family's 1533-position model. The record is from RNAcentral.